UACGGGGGAUGCAAGCGUUAUCCGGAAUCAUUGGGCGUAAAGCGUCCGCAGGUGGCAAUUCAAGUCUGCUGUUAAAGACAGAAGCUUAACUUCUGAUAGGCAGUGGAAACUGGAUAGCUAGAGUACGGUAGGGGUUGAGGGAAUUCCCAGUGUAGCGGUGAAAUGCGUAGAUAUUGGGAAGAACACCAGUGGCGAAGGCGCUCAACUGGACCGUAACUGACACUCAGGGACGAAAGCUAGGGUAGCGAAAGGG
RNAcentral lists this ribosomal RNA (253 nucleotides) under uncultured bacterium. RNAcentral's name for it is "partial 16S ribosomal RNA". It matches the Rfam family "Bacterial small subunit ribosomal RNA", at positions 524 to 776 of the family's 1533-position model. The record is from RNAcentral.